RNAcentral lists this unclassified non-coding RNA (274 nucleotides) under Oidiodendron sp. Its description in RNAcentral is "partial contains 5.8S ribosomal RNA, internal transcribed spacer 2, and large subunit ribosomal RNA". The stretch from base 1 to 71 matches the Rfam family "5.8S ribosomal RNA", at positions 84 to 154 of the family's 154-position model. Lineage: Eukaryota; Fungi; Ascomycota; Leotiomycetes; Myxotrichaceae. The record is from RNAcentral.
GUGAAUCAUCGAAUCUUUGAACGCACAUUGCGCCCCGUGGCAUUCCGCGGGGCAUGCCUGUUCGAGCGUCAUUUCAACCCUCAAGCUCUGGCUUGGUGUUGGGCGCGGCCCGCGUGGCCGGCCCCAAAGAUAGUGGCGGCACCUGUCGGGCCCUGAGCGCAGUACGACUCUCGCUCCGGGGCGUGGUGGUGGCCUGCCAGAACGCCUAUUCUAUGGUUGACCUCGGAUCAGGUAGGGUUACCCGCUGAACUUAAGCAUAUCAAUAAGCGGAGGA